AUGGCGCCCCCGGAGUACGUGCAGAUCGUCGGACAGGCGCAGCCGGCGUGCGUGACGGCGCCGCUCCCGGUGGUCUGGCUGGAGGGGGACGUCCUCGCCGAGUACGUGCAGUUCCUCAAAGAGGCCGAGGAGGCCGCGGCCGCGCAGCUUCCCGGCGUCAAGUGGCUGGAGGGGGACGUCCUGGCCAACUUCCUGCAGUUUCUCGCAGAGGACGAGCAGGUCGUGCACUACGGUAGCGGCAACAGCAGCAGCGGAAGCAACGGCGGCGACUUCAUGUGUGAGGAGGACCAAGAUGACGAGGAGGAGGAGAUGGAGUAUCUGCUGCGGCACAUCACGAGCCUCCCAGCGUUCAUGGCGCGCGCGGCGGCCGCCGCCUCGGCGCAAGAUUAA
RNAcentral lists this ribosomal RNA (390 nucleotides) under Triticum aestivum (bread wheat). RNAcentral describes it as "partial small subunit ribosomal RNA". Lineage: Eukaryota; Viridiplantae; Streptophyta; Magnoliopsida; Poales; Poaceae. The record is from RNAcentral.